Molecule: RNA transcript, 13779 nt
Organism: Athalia rosae (coleseed sawfly)
Lineage: Eukaryota; Metazoa; Arthropoda; Insecta; Hymenoptera; Athaliidae
Gene: Pten
Gene name: phosphatidylinositol 3,4,5-trisphosphate 3-phosphatase and dual-specificity protein phosphatase PTEN
Exons: 10
Source: RefSeq, a predicted model, not a curated record
UAGAAACCUGCGUACCGUUGAUAGAAAAAAAACGCAUAAAGCGGGCCGUGACAAUAUGAUCAUAUCAACGUAAAUUGCAUAAAGUUCGGCUUCGGUGGCCGUAGUUUGUGGUGUGAAGGAAAAAGAAAAAUUGAAAUUGAAAAAAAAAAUGAAUUCAGCAAUAGCGGUCGACGAGUUUCAGGUCGGUCGGGAAUGUGCCUGAGUCUGAGAUGGACGCUACGAAAGCGACUUCCGUUAACUAAUUAAAAGGGAGUUAUUACUCGCGGUGUGCUCUGUAAAAAUGUUGAAUUUACAAGUGAAUGUUUACCUUUGACGACCGCCUGAACAGUGUGUGUGGGUAUUUUUCGUUAUCUAGAAAACUCGACGCUUCAACGCGGUGCAUCCGAUGCAUUGUUGGUGAGUGACUUGACGCAGUGACAUGUUGAGAACGGCUAGUGGGUGACCUCUCGCUACGGCUUUUGUACGACUGUUCCGUACCCUGGGUGUAACGUUUUUUUUAUUAAAUAGGAUAAUAUUAACAUAAGGUGGGAGUGCCGUUGAUACCUUAUUGUUUUAAACAAAAAUCGUAACUACUCUUGCCUUCUGGUACGAUUGUGGUUUUAUCGCCCGCUCUACCGUGCGCGCGGUGCUGGAAUGAAAAUCUCCGUGUCUCGUAUUGUAGAUAUUCGAAAAACCUUUCGGAGACCCACGAGCAACCGAUUGAACAAUAAAAUCUCGGAACACAUAUCGGCAUCGGUAACACCCCUCCAUGUUUGUCUGGAGGAACAAAGAGGACCAGAACUGGGCUCGUGUGACCACACGGAUCGGAAGCCCCAGGUUAAGGGUGCUGGAGACGGUGGUGGAACAAGAGGACGAGGAGGAGGAGGGCGGGAGGCUGAGAUCGAGGGCGGUGGGGAGGCUGAGUUAAGGCAGAGCCAGCUGAGCAUGGCAAAUACCAUCAGCAACAUGAAGAUGACCAACCCUAUAAAAGGGCUAGUCAGCAAACGCCGGAAACGUUUUACAAAAGAUGGCUUUGACCUUGAUCUCACAUAUAUAAAGGAUAACCUCAUCGCUAUGGGUUUCCCCGCUGAAAAGCUAGAAGGAGUUUACAGAAAUCAUAUCGAUGAUGUUGUCAAAUUCCUCGAAUCAAAGCAUAAGGAUCACUAUAAAAUUUACAAUCUUUGCUCCGAAAGGUCAUACGAUGGUAAGAAGUUCAAACUACGAGUGGCUACUUAUGCAUUUGAUGACCAUAAUCCACCAAUGCUAUCACAAAUCAGGCCAUUCUGCGACGACGUUCAUUCUUGGUUAUCUCAGGACAGAGAAAACGUGGCAGUUGUUCACUGUAAGGCAGGCAAGGGUCGUACAGGUGUCAUGGUAUGCUGCUACCUCUUACACAGCAAACAGUUUAGUACAGCUACAGAAGCCCUGAACUUUUAUGGAACCAAGAGAACGCACGAUAGAAAAGGAGUAACAAUACCAUCGCAAAGGAGAUAUGUGGGCUACUAUGCGUCGCUUAUACAGGAGGAGCUCAUCUAUGAACCUGUUAAUCUAAUAUUGCAGCAAAUCCGAUUGGAUCCUGUUCCAAUAUUCAACGGAGGCCAGGGAUAUCUUUCUUUCGUUAUAUCUGCGUCCAACGAGAAGAUUUUCAUCUCGGAUGUCUACGAAGUGAGGAAAGGAAUGCAUUCCAUAUGCAUCCCAUUUAAACAUAGCAUUUCACUCUGUGGGGACAUUCGAAUAGACUUUUUUCAAAGGCCAAAAAUGAAGCGGAAAGAAAAAAUGUUCCACUUCUGGUUCAACACAUUCUUUGUGCGUGAACACGCAGCCACCGAGUACGACAAUGGUGAUGUACCAGUGGAAAGAUCGCAGAGGGCAUUGAGCUACGAUGGUACUGCUAUGGAAUUGCCAAUGGUUACAGCUCACUCUAGACCAAGAACAGGUUCGUUAGCUAGCCUCGGUCCUAUGCCGCCAUCCCUCGUUUUGAACAUCGACAAGGCUGGUUUGGAUGAUGCUCACAAAGACAAGCAUCACAAGUUGUAUAGUGCCGACUUUAAAGUGAGCUUGUUGAUGCAACGAGUCGCUAGUAGUAUGCAGUCAUCGGUGCCGGAUGCAGUGAACAGAUCAAGUGUUCCGAUUAGGGUGGGAAUCGAUGACCCGGAGACACCGAGCGAAUCUAGUGACGGUUCGAGCAGUGAGUGCGAUACAACAGGCGAUGAAGAGGGCUGGGAGUCGGGUGAGUCCUCUGCAUCUCUGGUGGUCAGUCAUCCACGCACACACAGCCCUAGCCAGACACACGCCAAUACCCACCGCAGGGCUAGUUUCAGGCAAACCGCAAAAAGCUUACUGUCACGUGGGGAAAAGGGUAGGGGUAGUCAUAGAGAAAGUACUACUAGUGUCAAACGUUCGUCUACAUUUGUGCGAUCGGCCACACUUGAUACGUAGUUCAUCUGUUUGUUUUUGGUACCUUUGGAUCGUGAUUAAUGAAUGCUUAUGUACAUGUGAAGAAUUCUGCCUGAAUGUGUUUCAAAUUCGAUUUUCUACAGGGGGCUUUUUUCCUCUUUCUCUUUCCCACUUUAAAACAUACGUACCUACACACAUACUUCGUUACAAAAAACAGUACUAUGAUACCUACAGCAAAGUGCAACACACGUGGCAGAAAACUUAACAAAUUACAAAUAAUCUUUGGGGAUUAGUAGAGUAUAGUGGGGUUCUGCCUUUCCGUUAAAUUUCAAAUUAAUCAGCCAAGCUUACCGGAUAUUAUUGAAAUCUGUGCCCUCACUCUUCAGUUUCUAAAGUGAUUAUGAUAGUCUUGUAUAAACUUGUGGUCGAGUUUUAUAAGACUAUCAUCUCGAUAAAACAAUUAGGAAUUCGUCUGUCCUGUAACGGCUGGUUGGAAAGAUUUCUUACACCUUUAACAUUUCACAUUUAUAUCCAUCUAGAGAGAUAUCGGUUCACUUAGAAAAUCAUAAGUGAUUAAUAGAUAAAAUGGGCUAUCUGGUAUAUCUGUUGCUUUGUUUCAAUUUCAAACUCUAAAUUUCCAUACUUAUAGGAUGCAAUCAUUCGUAAAUUGAAUGAUCAUCUGACAACAAAAAAAAAACGUCCUCAACUCAUUGCUCACAUAAAAAAAAGUAUGCGCAACAACCUAUGUAAUAUACCUGGUAUUUAACAUAGCAUAGGUAUCAUAACAGUUACUGGAAUGCAUGUGGUUUGCUAAAGAAUUAGAUUUAAGCUUGUGGUCAUAACUACGCGGGAAUUAACGAGUGUUUGUACCCAUCGUUUUUAUUUCAUUAUACAAAAUUAGCCCAUCUCUUUCGCUGAUGAUGCGUCAAAUCACUCCGCAAGUUUGAUAGCCUGAUAUUGUUCUCAUGUGUGAUUACUGAAAAAACGUUACUCGGACUUUCAAUCAAACUAAUUUGGAUGUAUUUGACCGUUCAUCAAAUUAUCAUCAAAUAAAUCAUUAUUCGUCAAAGGAGCUAUAUCAACGCGAUGCGGGUAUAGUCAUCUCCAUAUCAUCAUUUCAUCUCAUAACAAAUCACACGUACUUUUGUCGUAAAAAAAAUUCGCAGGAAACUCUUGGUAACAAAGUCUCCCAAAAAAUUGUUAUAACCGAUGCCAUGAAGGACAGCAUAUGAUCAGCAGCGUAUCCUAGAAUACCAAACUAGUGAAGCGAUACGAAAAAUUUAACAUCCCCAUAAGACCGUGCGGGCUUUAUCUAUGAUUGAAUUGGUGCAGCGACGGGCGCCGCACCAUCAAAUCGCGUUGCCGUAGAUUUUCUAGUUUAACUUUCGCGUGGAUGAUUUCAAUAUUUUCUAGGAACAAAAACUAUGGCCUAGUUCAUCCUGAAUUGGAUGUUUCCUUAAACGUCGUAUUUGUAUUUCUUAAGGUACUUUUUUCUCUAGAGCAACAUAGCGUUAGCACUGGUUUUGUGCUAUUUCGUUGAUGUGUGUGAAUAUUUUUGCAUUGUACGCAUUCGACCCCUAGUAAUUGGUUUAGGCUGAGCGUUCCUGAGUAUGAUACGAUUGAUGUUGUAGGAAAGUUUUUAAUGGGAUGUUAUUCGGCAUACUAACAAUUGAAUAAACUUGGAAAAUUUUUGUUGCACUCACAAGUUUUUCUGUUAAUUUUCAUGAUCUGAUAUUCGGUAUGUUGUUUUUACAAUAUUUUUUAGCCUCGCAAAGAAUUGUUGCAUAAUGUUGUUGUUAGGAUUUUUAUCAUUCAAUUAAAAAAUUCACCCGAACAGAUCUGGAAGUUUUACGAGAAUAAUUUUAACUCUAUUUGAAUUCGUGCCAAAUGCGAUAUACGGUGUACUUUUCAAUUUUAUUAAAGCGGUCAUAAAAUUGAAAUCUCUCACCCGUAUGCGUUUGGAGGACAAGCUGAAAUUUAUGGGUGCAUAAAGAAAUAUAUUGAAGAAUUUAACACUAUAUGUCGAGGUGUAGUUUCCAUUCGUUUUUCAUGUCCUCUCCACUCCCUUUGAAUUAGCACAUUUUAUCUACGUCAUUUAAAUUAAUGUCAUUUCGAUGAUGGAUUUUAUUUUUCCAUCAUCUUUUUUUUUUUGGUAUAAAAUAUUCGGUGCGUUAAUUUAGGAAUAAAUUUUACAGCGUGGCGAUAACCCUCCCACUAUGUAUAGAAUAAAUGGGUCAGACCAGUAGGCCCGAAGCUUUUGAUUGUCAGGGUUGCUUAUUAUUUACGAAUGAAUUUAAAAACUCCAUAUACAAUCGCGAGAAAACCACAAAACCCACAGAUGAACUGAUUUCUCGAACCGUGAAACAAACACACCCACAAACAGAAAGUUAACAAAAACAUAAUGUACAGACACAACACCAAUGUCUUUCUAUCUUCUACAUUUUUUCUAAUCAAUGUAUUGAAAAGUUAAACUAGUUUUAGCGUUAGUUGUAAACGUAAUUAUUGUUAUGACGGUAAUAUAUUAUUAGUUGAGUAUAAAUGAAAGUUACGAGCGUUCAGGUGAACUAGUUUCUGGAUGCAGAUUCGAAUGGAUCGUCAGAGUAAAUGUUGGUGUAAAAAAAGAAUGUGUAAUACACACCGCUUUUUUCAAACCUGAGUUUUAAAAAACUUGAAAUUAGCAUGUGACUCUUGAAAAGUCUGCAAAAUAUUUAGUAUCCCUUUUGUCGAAGCAUUGAUGUCAUCCAAAUUAGCGCAUGAUACGAAUGUAAAAGCUACCGUACUGUAAACGUCUAUUGAACGAUCUUCGUCUAUUUUUGACCGAAAAUAGAAAUUCCUGCCAUGAAUGGUACCAUUUUUGAUUUCAACUAAUUAGUUAUAAAACUGAAAAAAGCAUGUGCCAAAAUAAUGUUUGCCCGAAAACCAGCCUGUCUAGUGUUAAUGUUUACGUGACGUUAGAAAAAAGUAUAACAUUCAUAAACUAUACUUUUAGCAGGUCAGUUUAGUAAAGGAGAGAUAUCGUUGUCGACAGAAUGCGACAGAAUGAAUACUUUGCUUGUUUCACCUUACCACGUGAAAUCGGGCUCGAUAGUGUUCACGGUGUAGCAAAUUUAGGUUCGAAAUAUGAAACAGGUAGUAUAGUACGUAUUCAGAUGUUGUCAAUCGCUAUUUCAAUUCCAUUUGUCCUUGGAGACAAUAAAAAUAAUUGAAUUACUUGGAUUUUCAAAUAGAACACAAUCAAAGGAAUGAAAGGAUAUGCCAUUGUGAUUAAUAAUUGUUUCUGGUCGGUGAGAACUGUGUGAUAAUCCAGGCGAGCAACAAAUUUCAAAUAUAUGCUGGUAAUUGUUACAACCGUAUCCAAGAAGCUAGUAUCGCCAUAGCUCGAAUAUAAGAAUUUUGUAUAUAAGUAGGCACUAGUAGAUCACUAUUGAUGUAUUGAUAACAAUUGAUUUAAUCACGAAUCGUAUCGAAUAAAUUUUUUAGGGUCUUGAUAUUCAAGCUAAGUUUAUUAUACACUUCAUAUUUUGGUCACAUGUAAUGGAAUCUGAAAGUUUUCGGUUAUUCAACAUAACAUUGCGAUUUGAGCGAUCCUGAAUGUCCGGAGGAACGUAAAAAAUUAUUUAAAAAAAAGCCUCAAAUCCUCACCAAACAAUUAUGAAAGUUCUCUGCUAAUUAUUCGCCCGAGUUUUCAACAAUCGUGUAUGCCGCCGGUCGUGAAUGAAUUGAGCGGAACCUUAAAAAUGGUUAGUUCGUCGUAGCCAUGAAACCUGAUUAUAGGUACCUGAUCGUUAACUUAAAUAAAAAUAAAAGAAAUAAAAAAUUGGAUAACGUCGAUCUUUCAUGGAAUUUAUCGUUCACUGCGUGUUUAAAGUCACAAGCACCUUUUCAAGUGGCUUAAUUUUCAUAAUUCCAUGUGACUGAAUUCAUCGGUUGCCCCAUACAAUAUUAGUUACUUACGGCAAACAGAUUCGAAAAGCGAAUAUCGAUGCUCUAUUGUAUUAAUUUCCUUGUCAUUAAAAAAAAAAAAACACAAAUUUCUAUGGUUUUUAUCACUGCACGUUGAUAGUUUAUAAAUCCACAAGUUUCAAGAUUGCCAUAUUAAUACAAUCAUACAGAAUCUAUGUACAAUAAUGAUUAUAUUGUAUAAUGAUUAUAUUGUGAUAUUAUUAUACUGAUUAUAAUUAUGUUAACGGUUUUUAAACAUAUUGCUAUGCUACCUAUUGUACUUCUGUAAUUGAUACUUUGAUGAUAAGAUUAUAUAUUAUAAUUAUAUAAUGGCACUCUUUAUUUUGUAAUAUUUUCUCAUUUCGUGGAUCCUCUUUGAUUAGGAUUUAGAUAUAUGUAUACCUAUGUAUAUGUAUUACGUAGGAUAUCUUUAGUUAAUUGCAUUACGAUUUUUGUUAUCUAUCUGGUAUUUAUCAUUAAAUUAUAAUAAUUAGAUCUCAAAAUAUUCAAUUAAAUCUUUAUGUUUUUGGUGACAGCUUGCGGAGAAACAAAAAUCAUUCAAUCGGGAUACUUUUCAGCUAUCUAUUGAGCGUGAACUUAUUCAAAAUAAAUUAUAAUGCUUGCAUUCGAGAAACAAACUACUCCGAUCAGGCUUGAAUAUUAUUAAUAUUAACAAAAUCAUCCGGUGAAUCUGUGGGCCCGAAUAUAGGCGAGGAUUUUAAUUGGUUUAAAUAUUUUUCUAACUGUCACCGAAGACACACUUGAAAGUUUUUAUUAUUUGCCAAAAAAGCUCUCCUCACUGCACGCUGGUAUCGCAUGCUACAUGCUUGUGCAUCGUAUCGCCAGUCGAUUUGUUGGUGUUUAGUAGUUGAAUUAUAAUUAAAUAAUUAAAUGAAACAAGAUUGAAAUAGUGUUGAUUAUUGCAAGACAGAAAUCCAUGUCAUUCAUCCGCAGACAGUAAUCGAAUGCGCUGAUACUGAUUUUAGCGAUUAGCAAAUUUUAAAGAUGCAAAAAUAACCGGCACUCUUUCAAUUGCAAUAAAUUUAGGUUUAACAAUAUUAGCCGUCGUAAUAUGCUCAAUAAAUGAUCGACAUCUCUGUGUCUAUUGGCCCCUAGUGGAUUUGGAUCAACGAGUCGGACGGUACCGUCUUCUCUCCGAUGGAGGGAUGAUAGAUCUUUUGUGAACUCUGCAUCCUCCCCCUGCAUUUCUCUUCGAGCUACAGUACUGUUCAUGGGCAUAAAUAUCAUGUCACAGAUUAACGUGGGUAGCGUAGCACAAGCAACCAACAAUCAUUGAUCUACCUUUGUCCUUUAUAAGUAGAGGGUGGGCGUUCGCAAUUUCAAUUGAAUCUUAUAAUGCUGUGUCCGUUGCUGACGCUGUCUGUCUAUUUUUUUCUGUGGUUUAGUUAUACCAUUUAUCAUUUUCACCAUUUUCCAUGAAAGCAUACUGUGAAAAAGAGAAACGAAAAAUCAAGCUUACGCGCUUCUUGCGUCUUCAUCGCGCAUGCCACACUAGAUUUUUUAUUCGUAGGUUUACUGUGUUUUUGUACAAAAGAGUUUUGAAAAAACUGGUGCACAGAGUCAGCAUCGACCCGAUCUUAUGGGUUUUCAAAUAACGAAUAGAUAUGUUGAGAUAGAUGAACUACUGCUAUCAAUAGAAUAUUCGAUGCUCCCAAUGACUCUGCAUUUUAGUGUAUGUCGAGUAGGCAUUGAAGUGGGAGAGUAGUAAAGUAAUCAGGACAAGCUCAAAUAUCGAAGACGAAUUCGGAUAUGAUAAUUAUCGUAGUUACGGGUAUUGAAAAAAAUCAAAUUCAUUAGGUGGAUGUAAGAUAUAUUUUAUACUUUCUAAUUUUCCGAUCAUAAAUCUUGAGUAGUAUUCAGACUGAUAAGAUUUUCCGAUCGCAAAGUUGAACUUGAAAAACAUGAUACUUUCCUCAUUCAAAAUCUACUCAAAUUACCACAACUCAUUUAUAAUAGACACGACCCCUUACCUUUUGCAGUUAUGGACAUAUUUGAAAUUCAAAUACUGAACACAGGUUCAACUAAAUUCUGAAUUUUUAAAAAUUUCGCAAUUAUAUUUUAUCUGAUUCCUAAAAGAGCAAUACUUGUCUGUUCAAAUCCAUAGAUUUCAUUUACUGUGAAUCUGGAAUUAAGGCAAAAGAUUUUGCAUAGUUACAAAUAUUGGACUGUGUGUAAUUGAAUCGUCGAUAAAAUCGUUAAGUAACGCAAGAAUUUGAUUAAGAAUUGAGCAGCAUUACAACAAAGAACACAUUUUUAUAUAAGAUGGAGUGGUGUGAGAAGUACAUUAAAAAGAAAAUACUAUAUUUUCGUAAGGAAUAAAUAAUUGUAAGUCAAUAAUAAAUGUAGUAAAAGCGUCGUACCUCUCCGCCUCUUGGCUCAGAAUUAGUAUGUACGCAUAUCGAUCUCACUUACACCCACUUACCUUAGAAUCUGACAAUGAGUGUAAGAGGGAUACAGAAUGUAAUACUUGCUUAGUUCAUAGAGCUAAAUAUCCACUGAAUUGUAGAUUUGAUUAAUGCCGAAUGCAUUUAAUAACCACGUCAGUUGGAAGCUCAAAGCUGAACGCGUUUAAUGGUAGUAUGUUCAAAACUAGUAAUUGGCAAAGACAAGUAAUUGACGAAGAGUGAUUAAUUGUGAAACAUAUUUUACAUUUCCCAAAUCUGAAUUUGUCAAUUGACAUUAAGUGAUUUGAAAUUUGUCAACACCUGAUGAACUGAAUUCUUCAAUUUUUUAUAUAUCCUGUAAGGACCUAAUAUGUGUUAGCUGUGUGUUUCACUCGCAGGAUAUCUAUUAUAGAUUUUCAUUAGUUUGAGAAGAUUAAUUACCACGGUCGCUAGUGAGACCAAUUAGAAUACAUUUUGUGUCAUUAAAUUUAUCGGAAAGUAAAUUCACUGUUUAUCUAGCUCUAUGAGUCGUUCUUAAAGCAUUUAAUGUAACAUAGAGUAUAAAGCAUGCAAUACCAGGUCGAAACCGAGCUUAACCAUUGUACCCUAUUUGGUUGCGAAAUUAUCUGACGCGUUUGGCUUUUUAUUUUAUUUUUCUUUAUAUUCAUUACAUAGUUCACGCUGUUACGUAUCCUGUGAUUUUUGGCAUUCAGUGUUUCAUCGCAAUUCUGUUACAUAAUAAUGGAAAUCUUUUGACAUAAUUCUUUUAUACUAUUUAUAAGUUUGUAAAAAUUUCAUACAACUGUCAAAACUUGACCAAUAUACGAAUUAGAAUUACAGGUUUCAUUAAAUAGGAUAAUCUAUUUCAUAAUUAUCAAUGAUUUAAUACCUGGUGGUGACCUUCGAAGUGUUGGUCGAUCAAUUAAUGUGAGACUUGCCAAGAAUUAAAUCCGAUGACGCUCGAGUCACCUCAAAUAACAGUGGGCUCAAUAAUUCUUAGGCGCAGUUAUAAUUUGUCAAAUGGUAUUGACGUAUCAAUUAAGUAUUACAAUUACACGAAUGAAAUUGAACAUCUUCAUCCAAAUGCAAAUUCAAGUCGUUAGGAAUUAAUUUUUAGUUAGUUUCACACUGCAAAUUGAUGUAGGUAUACGCUCAUGGUUCAUCGAUCAGUAUAGUUUGAUUAAAUGUCAUUUUAUCAGUUGGUAUUUCCCUUGGCACUAGCAUGAAUUUUUUUUCAAUGGAGCGGUCCUAUUCGAUCAAAAACGAUUGCAAAUGCGCUGAAACCGUACCAAUUGCUGAGAAAAUGACAAAUCUACUCACCGAAAUUUGAUCAGACCGCUCUUCAACUAUGCUUUACAGUAAGAGAAGCAGAAAAAAUAUAAAGAAGAACGGUCUCAUCAACUGUAAUAGUUAUUACUUACAAAUGAGAAUCAUUGUUCAUACAAUUUCUACUAUUCAAGUACCUAAAUGUUGAUAGAAUUUAACAGUUCUUAUAUAAAAGUAUGAAUUGAUAUGCAUUAGUUAUUGAGAAAUAAAUGUUACUAUGCAGUUUAUAUAAUUAUGUUUAAUAAUAUACUGAAGCAGAUACCUUUCCUACACUUUGCACUAAGUUGUGCAAAAGUUGAACCCUAUAUGUACGAACGUUUGAAACAAAUUGAAUUAAGGUGAAUCAAAAUCAAUCAUCGGAAAACUGAAAACAGAUCACUAAAUUGACAACUAUCGUUCUUGCAUCGAAAUUAUUUUACGGUAUUCGAGAUAGGUAAUAAAUAUAGUUAUUUCUAGGAAUAAUAACAACUAUGCCUCGUAACGAAACGUCAACCUUGAUUACACUGUAAUUAUUUUCAUGCUCACUGGAAGAUACGUUUGACAAAUGAUAUUAUUUUGGGAGUCGACGUACUUGUGACUUUGAGACAUGACUGAUGGCGGGCCAAUCAGAGUUUAUUCCUCACAUACGAUUGUUCAACCCCAGACUGCAACGCACCAACUGCUUGACUACCAAUCGAUCAAUCAAUCGACAAAUCAACCAUCGCAUCUUGCCUGACACCUGUUACGCAUGCAUGCUCUCCUACUCACCGGUACAAGCUGACAUUGCAUUGUUACAUUCAUUAUUUUUAUAUUAUAGAAAAUCAUUUAAAUUAUUUAGAUGCGACUCUUUCAUUUGCAUUUCUUUUGAAAAUUAUUAUUAUUUCAAUUUUAUGUGAGGCUAAUGCAAGAGAGUUACGAGUUAGAAUCUGGGACUGGAAAUUGAAUUUGCGUUGAAUUUCUUUCCAGUCGGUUCAUUUUGUAGCAUAUAUUUAAUUAUACAAAAUUUUCUAUUGUAUUCUGUGCAAAGAUCUUUCAUAUACCAACACACUACUCGAUACACUCUUUGUUCGAAUCCAUAACACAUGCAAAUGUACAAGUUUGAAAAUUCCAGUGUCACAUGAAACUGGUGGAGAAAUAACUCUAUGUUGGAGAGAGAAAUUUGUUAUUAAUUAAAGGCGUCGUCUAGCAUCGCCCAUUUUUCAUUCCGGUAAUAAUGAAUAUCAUCUUUCCGAAUUGUAUUAAUUGGCUAUAUACUACAUGAUGAACCCCCUCAUAGUGCUUUUCGUUAUGAAAAAGCAAAAGUCACGGUAGAUCCAGAAAUUAAUAUAAGAUUACACAUCAAGAUGUAAUUUUAGAAUACUUUGUGUAUAAAAAUUUUCCGUUGUAAGAUUUUAACAAUAGACUUCUUCAGCAGCAGAUGGAUGGACUUUGAAGUCACCAUGCAUUGAAACAUGAUCUCUUGGUUUCUAGAUAAUAAAUGAGGAAAGUAUAUCUCUAUAUGUCUGGUGGUAAAUAACUGACAACAAACGAGGGAUAUCGCUUUCCGAGUUAUAAACAGCUAGUGGCUCCUUGGAGCAAUAUUAUUUAUUUAUUUAUAAAAAUCAAGGCACAAAUCAUCAAGGUGAUCUACAAUACUGGGUUGCUGGUUUAAUGGCAUCAACGUGUAUCGCUAUAGUUUAUAGAACAUGCAAGGAAAGUCAAGAUAUUUAAUAACUAAAUUUUUAACAGCAAUUAAUGAAAAGAAUAUAGAAUCAGAUCUAUAGAAGUUCGAAACAUAUAAGUUCGUUGCAUUAAAUCUUUUUUCAAAUUGUAUUCCACGGAUAAUCUUGAGAAAUUAGAAUUACCCAAUUAGAAUUACGAAGAAUAUUAACGAAGUUGUCCGUUUUUAUUCAACUAUUGACUAAAGAAAAAAAUAAAUUAGACAAUAAUGCGAUACAUUUUCAGUGGCGCGAUGAAAAUAUGAAAAAUAUUAAAGUUUGGAGUAUUAUAUUCAUGGCUAAAUCACAAUGUGUGCAAUGGUAUCAUAAACAUCCAAAUAUUUUUUUUCUCUGUCUUUUGAGUAGCAAUUUGGCUUUAAAAAUUCGCAUUUUCAAAUCAGUACGGUAAUAUCUUACUCUCCUAAACUGAUUCUCACAUGUUAUAUGAAACCACUUCGCUAAACGUACCUAUUUUUUUUUUUUUUUUGUUAAUUUUAAUUCUGAACAAAAGUUUUAUUCCAAUUGACUCACGAUCGCACAAUUGUGUACAUUUGUAUAAUGGCGAUUGAAUUUUUUGUUUUCAAACGUUACUUGAAAUAGCAUUCAUAUUUCGAAUGUUAAUGGAGUUGAGUUACUGAUUUUAUCUACCACGUAACGCGGCAGGAUCAAGUUCAUUUUAUAUUUACUCCCAAAAACUGAAUAAUUUCCAAAAUCUAUGAAGAUGUAUAAUUUCUAUUUUACGAUACCUGACUCUAGUUUAUGACGUAAUUGUGCUUCUAGCAAUCUUCAGUAAUGCUUGAACAGUACACUCAAACAUGAUUAAUAGUGCCGUUUCCAUUGUGUCAGCCUUUAAGUUAAUAAUUAAAUUUACAGUAUUUAGUGCCUAAUGUGCUUUUUACUUGUUGAAGUAAGCCAAAAUUUUGCUGAUAAUCAAGCAACUCAUUUACUGUUACUCAAAUUGUUAAUACGCCAUCGAUGAUGUUAGUUGAAAUUUAUUAAUUUUGUCUUACUUUACUAUAAUUUUUACUAUAAUUAACCAAGAUGUUAUUUUUUUGCAGAUUCGUUCAUUAAUUUUAGUAAAUCUUGAAAAAGCUUUACUUCAGUAAUGAGAAAAUUCCUCAGCUCAGUUACAAUAUUACUGAUGAAUUGAAUCUAUGAUAAUGGUUCGUCACCCUGCAUUUGUUUUUGUUAUGCUAUAAUUAUAUUUUAAUAUGGAUUACUCAUGUGUCUCCACAAUCAUCGUAGCCAUAUCGUCAUUUAAUUUUCAAGCUACUGAUUUGUAAAUUCAUAUUAAUAACGAAUCAGAGCUGUGAAUCGAGUAUUUAUACAUAAUAUGAAUUACCUGAUUUGAUUUUACCAUAUUGUUCAAUUCAACCUAUAGAGUACAAACAAGUUGACUUGAUCUCACAUAGAGUAAAAAAUAAAAAAAAAGAAAGAAUUAAUUUUCUCCCAUAGGAAUACAAAUAUGUAGUUUUUUUUUUUUUUGUUUUUUAUUUUAUUUUGUAAAUUGUCUUUGCGUAAGUAGGGUUCAAGGGCAAUCUAUUCUAAAACAGCUGUGCAGAUUAGAUAUUGGAAGUUGUGCUACCUGUCCCAACAUCUCAUUUUGGUCAAGAUGCCGUGAGACUCGUAACGUAAUUUUUUUUCUGUGUUCAGAAUAUAAUUUAUUCAUUUUUUCUAUCAUAGAUUAACACUUUAUUGGUAAUGUCUCUGUAAUAGUGUGGAGAGCGGUCUAUACACAUUUGCAGAGCAUACCCAAAUAACAUAUGAGUUUAGUGUAAAUAUGCACGAUACCAAUGAAAAUACCAGGAUAAAUUUUAAUCAUGGUGCCUGCAACGUUAAGAGAAGAGUAAUCGAAAUAUGGAGAAAUCCUGUUUUGUAUUGUAGCGUCGGUGGUAUAUGUAUCACAAGUUCAAAAUCUAUUUCAUUGUUCUACGUUAGGCUUUAUGUUUCCAUUGGAAUCUUGCAUUUCUAGUGUUAUAAUUAUGAUCUAACAUGAAAAAAUUUUAUAUUUUAAUUUUUAACUCCUUAUCUAAAUAAACAAACUCGAUCAGCAA